GAUGAACGCUGGCGGCGUGCUUAAUACAUGCAAGUCGAACGGAAUGUAGCAAUACAUUUAGUGGCGAACGGGUGAGUAACACGUUGGUGACCUGCCCCGAAGUGUGGGAUAACAGUCCGAAAGGAUUGCUAAUACCUCAUGUGAUUGCCGGGUUUAGAAGCUGGCAAUUAAAGCAGUAAUGCGCUUCGGGAGGGACCUGCGUCCCAUCAGCUAGUUGGUGAGGUAACGGCNCACCAAGGCUACGACGGGUAAGGACCUGAGAGGGUGGUCCCUCACAAUGGCACUGAAACACGGGCCAUACACCUACGGGUGGCAGCAGGUAGGGAAUAUUGGGCAAUGGGCGAAAGCCUGACCCAGCAACGCCGCGUGUGCGAUGAAGGCCUUC
Molecule: ribosomal RNA, 385 nt
Filed under: uncultured bacterium
Lineage: Bacteria
Description: bacterial SSU rRNA
Rfam family: Bacterial small subunit ribosomal RNA
Source: RNAcentral